This 426-nucleotide ribosomal RNA is filed under the name Zygophlebius leoninus. RNAcentral's name for it is "partial 16S ribosomal RNA". The record is from RNAcentral. Lineage: Eukaryota; Metazoa; Arthropoda; Insecta; Neuroptera; Psychopsidae.
AAUUUAAAGUCUAACCUGCCCACUGAAAAUUUUUGAAGGGCCGCAGUAUUUUGACUGUGCAAAGGUAGCAUAAUCAUUUGUCUUUUAAUUAAAGGCUGGAAUGAAUGGUUGGAUGAAAUAUUAACUGUCUCAUUUUUAAAAAUAUAAAAAUUUUUCUUUUUAGUCAAAAGACUGAAAUAAAUUUAAAAGACGAGAAGACCCUAUAGAUCUUUAUAAAUUUUAUUUAUAUAAAAAUUAGAUUAAAAAUAAUUAUAUAAAAUAAAUUUAUUUUAUUGGGGUGAUAGGAAAAUUUAAUAAACUUUUUUUAAUUUAAAACAAUGAUUUUUGAGUAUUUGAUCCAAUAUUAUUGAUUAAAAAUUUAAGUUACCUUAGGGAUAACAGCGUAAUUUUUUUUGAGAGUUCUUAUCGAAAAAAAAGUUUGCGACC